UACGUAGGUGACUAGCGUUGUCCGGAUUUACUGGGCGUAAAGAGCGCGCAGGCGGUCGGAUCAGUCGAAUGUGAAAGCCCCCGGCUCAACUGGGGAGGGUCAUUCGAUACUGUCCGACUCGAAGGCAGGAGAGGGAAGCGGAAUUCCCGGUGUAGUGGUGAAAUGCGUAGAUAUCGGGAGGAACACCAGUGGCGAAGGCGGCUUUCUGGCCUGUUCUUGACGCUGAGGCACGAAAGCUAGGGUAGCGAACGGG
This 253-nucleotide ribosomal RNA is filed under the name uncultured bacterium. RNAcentral's name for it is "partial 16S ribosomal RNA". It matches the Rfam family "Bacterial small subunit ribosomal RNA", at positions 524 to 776 of the family's 1533-position model. The record is from RNAcentral.